CAAAAGGCCCUUCUCAGGAUGGGAAUAUUUUAAGGACGAUCUCAAAGGGGAGAAGCAAAGCAGACCACAAAUCUGGAGGCCUGAGCCCAAGGGAUGUGUGGAGAAAUGGUUGGGUCUCCGGAGUUGGCCAGAAAGAGAAUGUUCACAUGAGAACCAUGGCCCCACGUAGCAAGCUUGGAGAUGGUUGUGUUGUCUCCUGAUUAUCAGCCCAGGGAAGGGAGGGUAGGAGGUGAGGACGUCACCCAGAAGCCAGAUUUAACUAGCCGACCUUGGAGAAUUUGGGAGAGAAGCACACCCUGUCUAGCAGACUCAGCUCCUACUUUCUUGGAAACAGGAGGCAUCCGGAGAAGCGUAGCCGUCCUUGCUGGGCUGCACAGUUUACUACGGGAAAUGUAACAGGGUUGUGUUUAGUAUUUUCUUUUUUGUGGCUCCAUAUUUAGAGCGCAAUGCUGGGGCCUCGGAUCAUAGGACUUCCUCCUUGGUGAAGAGAUGACGUCUUUCACUGAGGUUUGUUUGCUGCUGUAGGGAAGGCGAAACAUUUGAUGGAAGAAGGGCCUUUGCCAGGCAGGAGCCCUUUCCUUCCCCCUGGAGGAGAGUUCCAGGGAGGCAGGUCAGCCCUGGGUUCUGCAGCCAGGAAUUCAGCUUCAGGCACCAUCCACAGAAAUGCCUGGGAGGAGUACACGGUUGUUUUCCGAAACAUCAACCUCCAAGAGUCAGGGAGGCUCCUUAACAACCUGCUAUGGAUUGACCAUGAGUUUAUUUAAGCCCUCCCUGAACCUGUUUAUGUUUCAUUAAACUCUUUUAUUGAUCCUCUUAAUUUUCCCUUUGCUGAUUUACUCAAGGCCUUGACUUCACACCCGUCUCCCUGGAGUUCAGGUUUCAAGGGCUUCCAAAGUGCAUCUGGGGUACCCAGGCCCCAGCCAAGGGCCAGAGCCGCGUAAUGGGCCUUAUGUGCCCUUCUGCCACCUUCAGCAACUUUCUCUUCCUGCUCCUCUAGACCCCACAGGAAGGUCAGGUCUGCCUCUCCCCUGCCUCCAUUCAACCUUUGCCUUUUAAAUGCUUAACCCCAAACAAUGAGUCUUUGGUGGAGAAAUCUCAGACUGCUCUUAUCUAGUGGUAGAGAUGCUUUGGGGUGGCAAGGCCUUUAAAUUCCACUUUGUAUGUGGCCCUCUAGUGGUAGAAAUAAUGUUCAUUAAAGCCACAAUCCGUUGAGAGGGUAGGGAGGUGGGAAGUUUGCAGAAUGACUGCUGGAUCAGCUUGGGAAAUUUACAGAUGAUCUGUUUCAAUCCAUUCUCAUUUGCUCCCCCAAAUUGGGUUCUGUUUACACUUGGCAUUAAAAAAAAAGAAAAGAAAAGAAAAAGAAAGAAAGAACAAGCUUCGUAUGUGGCUAUGGCAGACAGAAAGAAAAGGCUUGGUGACCACGUGGUGU
Molecule: long non-coding RNA, 1429 nt
Filed under: Macaca mulatta (Rhesus monkey)
Lineage: Eukaryota; Metazoa; Chordata; Mammalia; Primates; Cercopithecidae
Description: lncRNA (ENSMMUG00000055428.1)
Source: RNAcentral